GGCCUAACACAUGCAAGUCGAGCGGCAGCGGGAAAGUAGCUUGCUACUUUUGCCGGCGAGCGGCGGACGGGUGAGUAAUGCCUGGGAAAUUGCCCAGUCGAGGGGGAUAACAGUUGGAAACGACUGCUAAUACCGCAUACGCCCUACGGGGGAAAGCAGGGGACCUUCGGGCCUUGCGCGAUUGGAUAUGCCCAGGUGGGAUUAGCUAGUUGGUGAGGUAAUGGCUCACCAAGGCGACGAUCCCUAGCUGGUCUGAGAGGAUGAUCAGCCACACUGGAACUGAGACACGGUCCAGACUCCUACGGGAGGCAGCAGUGGGGAAUAUUGCACAAUGGGGGAAACCCUGAUGCAGCCAUGCCGCGUGUGUGAAGAAGGCCUUCGGGUUGUAAAGCACUUUCAGCGAGGAGGAAAGGUCANUAGCUAAUAUCUGCUGGCUGUGACGUUACUCGCANAANAANCACCGGCUAACUCCGUGCCAGC
Molecule: ribosomal RNA, 480 nt
Filed under: uncultured bacterium
Lineage: Bacteria
Description: bacterial SSU rRNA
Rfam family: Bacterial small subunit ribosomal RNA
Source: RNAcentral